AAAUUGAAGAGUUUGAUCAUGGCUCAGAUUGAACGCUGGCGGCAGGCCUAACACAUGCAAGUCGAACGGUAGCACAGAGAGCUUGCUCUCGGGUGACGAGUGGCGGACGGGUGAGUAAUGUCUGGGAAACUGCCUGAUGGAGGGGGAUAACUACUGGAAACGGUGGCUAAUACCGCAUAACGUCGCAAGACCAAAGAGGGGGACCUUCGGGCCUCUUGCCAUCAGAUGUGCCCAGAUGGGAUUAGCUAGUUGGUGAGGUAA
RNAcentral lists this ribosomal RNA (261 nucleotides) under Salmonella enterica subsp. enterica serovar Muenchen. RNAcentral describes it as "partial 16S ribosomal RNA". It matches the Rfam family "Bacterial small subunit ribosomal RNA", at positions 1 to 260 of the family's 1533-position model. The record is from RNAcentral. RNAcentral also lists the same sequence under 5 other names. Lineage: Bacteria; Pseudomonadati; Pseudomonadota; Gammaproteobacteria; Enterobacterales; Enterobacteriaceae.